This 499-nucleotide ribosomal RNA is filed under the name uncultured bacterium. RNAcentral describes it as "bacterial SSU rRNA". It matches the Rfam family "Bacterial small subunit ribosomal RNA", at positions 9 to 507 of the family's 1533-position model. The record is from RNAcentral.
GAGUUUGAUCCUGGCUCAGGAUUAACGCUGGCGGUAUGCCUAACACAUGCAAGUCGAACGGAAUACUAAUUAAGAGAAUCUCACACUAGUGAGAGGUUCUCACGAGUAGUAUUUAGUGGCGGACGGGUGAGUAACACGUUGGAACCUGCCCCGAAGUGGGGAAUAACUGCUCGAAAGAGUAGCUAAUACCCCAUUGUAUCCGGUUUAUCCGGAUUAAAGAUUUAUCGCUUCGGGAGGGGCCUGCGUCUGAUUAGCUAGUUGGUGAGGUAAAAGCUCACCAAGGCGACGAUCAGUAGCUGGUUCGAGAGGAUGACCAGCCACACUGGGACUGAGAUACGGCCCAGACUCCUACGGGAGGCAGCAGUGAGGAAUCUUCCACAAUGGGCGCAAGCCUGAUGGAGCAAUACCGCGUGCAGGAAGACGCUUUUCGGAGUGUAAACUGCUUUUGUCGUCGAAGAUUAUGACUGUAGACGAAGAAUAAGGACCGGCUAACUACGUG